AUUGAACGCUGGCGGUAUGCUUUACACAUGCAAGUCGAACGGCAGCACGGGAGCAAUCCUGGUGGCGAGUGGCGAACGGGUGAGUAAUACAUCGGAACGUGCCCAGUUGUGGGGGAUAGCCCGGCGAAAGCCGGAUUAAUACCGCAUACGACCUGAGGGUGAAAGCGGGGGACCGAAAGGGCUCGCGCAAUUGGAGCGGCAGCGGUCGGAUUAGCUAGUUGGUAGGGUAAAGGCCUACCAAGGCGACGAUCCGUAGCUGGUUUGAGAGGACGACCAGCCACACUGGGACUGAGACACGGCCCAGACUCCUACGGGAGGCAGCAGUGGGGAAUUUUGGACAAUGGGCGAAAGCCUGAUCCAGCCGUACCGCGUGCGGGAAGAAGGCCUUCGGGUUGUAAACCGCUUUUGUCAGGGAAGAAAAGUUUUGGGUUAAUACCUCGAAACGAUGACGGUACCUGAAGAAUAAGCACCGGCUAACUACGUGCCAGCAGCCGCCGUAA
Molecule: ribosomal RNA, 500 nt
Filed under: uncultured bacterium
Lineage: Bacteria
Description: partial 16S ribosomal RNA
Rfam family: Bacterial small subunit ribosomal RNA
Source: RNAcentral